ACAGAGGUCUCAAGCGUUGUUCGGAUUCAUUGGGCGUAAAGGGUGUGUAGGUGGCGCGCUAAGUCGGGUGUGAAAUUUCGGAGCUUAACUCCGAAACUGCAUUCGAUACUGGCGUGCUUGAGGACUGGAGAGGAGACUGGAAUUUACGGUGUAGCAGUGAAAUGCGUAGAUAUCGUAAGGAAGACCAGUGGCGAAGGCGGGUCUCUGGACAGUUCCUGACACUGAGACACGAAGGCCAGGGGAGCAAACGGGA
Molecule: ribosomal RNA, 253 nt
Filed under: uncultured prokaryote
Description: partial 16S ribosomal RNA
Rfam family: Bacterial small subunit ribosomal RNA
Source: RNAcentral